This 305-nucleotide ribosomal RNA is filed under the name uncultured bacterium. Its description in RNAcentral is "bacterial SSU rRNA". It matches the Rfam family "Bacterial small subunit ribosomal RNA", at positions 333 to 636 of the family's 1533-position model. The record is from RNAcentral.
AUGCUCCUACGGGGGGCAGCAGUGAGGAAUAUUGGUCAAUGGGCGGGAGCCUGAACCAGCCAUGCCGCGUGAAGGCGAGUGCCCUACGGGCGUUAAACUUCUUUUGUGCGGGAGCAAUAAGGGCCACGUGUGGCCCGAUGAGAGUACCGCACGAAUAAGCAUCGGCUAACUCCGUGCCAGCAGCCGCGGUAAUACGGGGGAUGCGAGCGUUAUCCGGAUUUAUUGGGUUUAAAGGGCGCGUAGACGGCAUGGCAAGUCAGAUGUGAAAGCCCGGGGCUCAACCCCGGGACUGCAUUUGAAACUGU